This 68-nucleotide transfer RNA is filed under the name Barbatia virescens. RNAcentral's name for it is "tRNA-Arg". Lineage: Eukaryota; Metazoa; Mollusca; Bivalvia; Arcoida; Arcidae. The record is from RNAcentral.
CGUCCUGUAGUUUUAAUUAAAAAUGUUUGGCUUCGGACCAGGAGAUGAGUAAGGGCUCUCCGGGAUGU